RNAcentral lists this ribosomal RNA (398 nucleotides) under uncultured bacterium. RNAcentral describes it as "bacterial SSU rRNA". It matches the Rfam family "Bacterial small subunit ribosomal RNA", at positions 358 to 770 of the family's 1533-position model. The record is from RNAcentral.
GGAAUAUUGCGCAAUGGGGGAAACCCUGACGCAGCAACGUCGCGUGAGUGAUGAAGGUUUUCGGAUCGUAAAGCUCUUUUAGUAGGGAAGAAAAAAAUGACGGUACCUACAGAAAAAGCACCGGCUAACUCCGUGCCAGCAGCCGCGGUAAUACGGAGGGUGCGAGCGUUAUUCGGAUUUAUUGGGCGUAAAGCGCGCGUAGGCGGUUUGGAAAGUCUGCUGUGAAAGCCCACGACUCAAUCGUAGAACUGCAGUGGAUACUACCAGACUAGAGUAUUGGAGAGGAGAACGGAAUUCCUGGUGUAGAGGUGAAAUUCGUAGAUAUCAGGAGGAACAACGAAGGCGAAGGCAGUUCUCUGGACAAUUACUGACGCUGAGGUGCGAAAGCGUGGGGAGCA